Long non-coding RNA from Chenopodium quinoa (quinoa), 1197 nucleotides. RefSeq lists it as uncharacterized. The transcript is spliced from 3 exons. The record is from RefSeq and is a predicted model, not a curated record. Lineage: Eukaryota; Viridiplantae; Streptophyta; Magnoliopsida; Caryophyllales; Amaranthaceae.
GAAACUUUAUCAGGUUUCACUCAUUCUCUCUCUAAAUUUUCCACUAAGAAACUCCACUAACAUGAAGAUCAAAUCGGCGGGAUUUAUCAUCAAAUUUUUGUAAGCUCCUCAAUUUCAUCAUCAAAUUAUUUUGUUAUUCGAAUUUUUUCAUUGUAUAAGUAUGACGUUCAAUUUUGCCUUUUUCGAUUUUUUGUAUGUUUUUUUAGCCUAAUAUUAAAUUAUUGACAUACUUUUUUUUGUUAAAUUAUGGUUUUAAUUGGUCUAUAUGGAUGACAAUCUAAUAAAUGAUUGUGUUUGUUCGUUUACGAUUUUGUAUUCUUUUGAAUUUUGUUUAAUCAUGCUUUUGUUUAUAACCUGAAUUUUGUGUUUGUGAUUGAAUUUUCGAGCGAUAUUUUUCUGAAUAUUCACUAUUAUAUUGAGUUAUUUAGUCUAAUGUUGUUUAUUAUUGAUAUAAUGUUGCUAAAAUUUGAUACAAAAUUACAUUAUUCAUGAAUUGGGUUUUUUCGAUUUUUUGCUUUAACCCUUGAAAUCGCGAAUUGCAAAUGGAUUCAACUAAAGCUCCGAUCCAAACGAUGAACUAAAAUUUCCAGUUGUUACUUAAGAACGAUGAAUUUACUGAGGAAGAAGUGGGUCUUUUAUAUGACUUAUUCAAUAAACUCAACAACUCUGUUGUCAAAGAUGGUUUUAUUAAAAAGGAGGAACUUCAACUUGCAUUAUUUAAGAAUAGUAUGAAGAGAAGCCUUUUUUCUGGACAGAGUAUGUGUUUCCUUUUAGUUGUUAGAUGCUGAUGUCCCAUAUUUCAUGAAAGAAUUUCCAAUCUAAGUAUGUGUUCACUUGUUCUUUUUCCUUUGGUUUGCAUAAUACUAAAGUAUUCUUUACCUUACAUGACAAGUUGAGCAGUAUUUAUUAAGUAUGAAGUAUUACUUUAGGAUUCAGAAAACGGGACAACCUUGUAGCAAUUUGAACUGUGGGAAUAUCAGUGUUUGAUCUGAUUCAUUCCUUGAUUGCUAGGUGUCACGUUUCUUUUCGGCAUUCAGAUUGAUAUGGUGGAUUUUAUUACUAUCUAGGGCCUUGUAUACGCUGACAAAUUACUGAUUCACUACUGUUUUUGUUAUAUGCACUUCCUGGUUUGUUAAUUUCGUUUUUUAUUUUUAAUUGUAUUUUUUUGGGCAACUAACUAUUUGCUCAUUUGCUAAA